AACAAGGUAUUUUAUAAAGAAUAGUGAGUUUGCGUCUCAUUGGUGGCGAUGCUCCUUGUUG
Molecule: transfer RNA, 61 nt
Filed under: Caryophyllaeus brachycollis
Lineage: Eukaryota; Metazoa; Platyhelminthes; Cestoda; Caryophyllidea; Caryophyllaeidae
Description: tRNA-Ala
Source: RNAcentral